Molecule: long non-coding RNA, 479 nt
Filed under: Homo sapiens (human)
Lineage: Eukaryota; Metazoa; Chordata; Mammalia; Primates; Hominidae
Description: HSALNT0025106
Source: RNAcentral
UUUAUUUUUAGUGUUGCAAUCUCCAGCAGUCCUUAUUUUCACUCAAAAUUACAAUACAGGGGACUAUGGCCAAUGCUAUGCAGAUGGCCAAAUAGAUAAUAAAGACUCAGUUCAUGAAUAAUAUCCACUCAGAAAGAGGACAAAAGCAACAGGAAAAAAGAGCCCAAAUUGGACAAAAUGUGCGUGCUAUAUUUAAAAAAAAACACACGCGAUCAUUGUCAGAGAUCAUUAAGGGUGCCCUGUAGUUUUAAUUAUAUGCCAGUGGCACCAAUUUGAUGUGACUGUUUGCUCUUAUAGUCAAUAAAAAAAGUCAUAACUGCCAUAAAAAAUGUGUGAAAGAUUAAUUUGUAGAAUGAGGGUGCACAGCACAGGACAGAUGGAGCGGGUGGGACAUGACAGUUUUCGUCUGUGGCAUCAUUUUGUUGUUGCUAUUGCAAGUGAGCAAAAUAAAGCUACUGCUACCGCGAUCAUUUUUUGGG